This 535-nucleotide unclassified non-coding RNA is filed under the name Hevea brasiliensis (rubber tree). Lineage: Eukaryota; Viridiplantae; Streptophyta; Magnoliopsida; Malpighiales; Euphorbiaceae. The record is from RNAcentral.
AGAUGCGAAAGAUCUGUGUUCUUGAGCUAUUUAGUGCCAAGAGAGUGCAGUCAUUUCAAUUUGUUAGAGAAGAAGAGGUUGAUUUGCUUAUCAAUUCCAUCUCCAAUUUUUCUUCCUCUGCCACUCCUGUUGAUCUCAGUGAAAAGAUAUUGUCUCUCACUGCGAACAUAACUUGUAGAGCAGCUUUUGGGAAGAGUUUUCAAGAGAGAGGGUUCAGCCAUGAAAGAUUCCAAGAAAUUAUUCAUGAAGGUAUGGCAAUGCUUGGGAUCUUCUCUGCAGCUGAUUUCUUUCCUUAUGUGGGCUGGAUUGUUGAUAGACUCACAGGCCUCCAUGCAAGGCUUGAAAGAAACUUUCAAGAAUUUGAUGCUUUCUACCAGCAGGUGAUAGAUGAUCACAUCCAAAAGCGAAGCAAACAGCAUAGACAGGAAGAUUUUAUCGAUGUUUUGCUUGAGAUGGGGAGAUUUCAAACUGAAUCUGCUGCAAUUCAAUUGUCCCAAGAUCAUAUUAAAGCGAUUCUCAUGAACAUAUUCCUGGC